RNAcentral lists this ribosomal RNA (830 nucleotides) under uncultured bacterium. Its description in RNAcentral is "bacterial SSU rRNA". It matches the Rfam family "Bacterial small subunit ribosomal RNA", at positions 51 to 894 of the family's 1533-position model. The record is from RNAcentral.
ACACAUGCAAGUCGAACGAGUAUCCCGGAGCUUGCUCCGGGGGACAGUGGCGAACGGGUGAGUAACACGUGAGAAACCUGCCCUAAAGACCGGGACAACCAUUGGAAACGAUGGCUAAUACCGGAUGCCUUCACACGGUCGCAUGGCCGAGUGAAGAAAUGCUCAGGCGCUUUAGGAGGGUCUCGCGGCCUAUCAGCUAGUUGGUGAGGUAAUGGCUCACCAAGGCAUCGACGGGUAGCUGGUCUGAGAGGACGAUCAGCCACACUGGGACUGAGACACGGCCCAGACUCCUACGGGAGGCAGCAGUGGGGAAUAUUGCGCAAUGGGGGAAACCCUGACGCAGCAACGCCGCGUGUGGGAUGACGGCUUUCGGGUUGUAAACCACUUUCAGUGAUGACGAAAUUGACGGUAAUCACAGAAGAAGGUCCGGCCAACUACGUGCCAGCAGCCGCGGUAACACGUAGGGACCAAGCGUUGUCCGGAUUUAUUGGGCGUAAAGAGCUCGUAGGCGGUUUUGUAAGUCGGAUGUGAAAACUCAGGGCUCAACCCUGAGACGCCAUCCGAUACUGCAAUGACUAGAGUCCGGUAGAGGAACAUGGAAUUCCUGGUGUAGCGGUGGAAUGCGCAGAUAUCAGGAGGAACACCAAUGGCGAAGGCAGUGUUCUGGGCCGGUACUGACGCUGAGGAGCGAAAGCAUGGGGAGCAAACAGGAUUAGAUACCCUGGUAGUCCAUGCCGUAAACGUUGGGCACUAGGUGUGGGACCUUCUAACGGGUUCCGUGCCGUAGCUAACGCAUUAAGUGCCCCGCCUGGGGAGUACGGCCGCAAGGC